GGGAGGCUCGCAAUUAGUUUUUGAGAGGACGGAGGGUGUGCCGGCUACUGUAAAUGAACUACGGGCUAGUUGGAGUCGUCCGCGGUUCGAUAUUUUCAAAUGUAAUGUUGAUGCUGCUUCCUUUUUGAAGCAGGUUGUACGUCAUUUGCAGCGAUUCUCCGAGACCACGAUGGAAAAUUUAUAUCGGGUUAUAUAGAUUGGGUUUGGGAUCCAUAACUUGCAUAGAUUUAUUCUAUUUGGGAAUCGUUGAAAUGGCUUCGUGGGCAGCAUUUGGAUAACUUGAUUGUGGAA
Molecule: long non-coding RNA, 291 nt
Filed under: Gossypium barbadense (sea-island cotton)
Lineage: Eukaryota; Viridiplantae; Streptophyta; Magnoliopsida; Malvales; Malvaceae
Description: long non-coding RNA (GBAR_LNC006623)
Source: RNAcentral